AUGUCUCCUCCAGAGCCUCCAGUACCAGAAGGAGACAAGAAGAAGGAAAGAGUCGCAGUCGGUACUCCUUUCACCUGGAUUGCAUGGCACUUUGGGCAUUGUCCUGAGGAUGCUACCAAUGAAGUGGUCCAGACAUAUGCUUGUGUCUACAUGUGGUACGCUAUCUCCAGGACUCUGUUUGCUGACACCACAUGCAAGAAUGCUCCAUGGAUGUGGCUGAAGGCGUUGACCGUCUUCGAUAGCAAAUGGAGUUGGGGUUCAGCGGCACUGGCUUACUUAUAUAGACAAGUAGUCAGUUGUUUGUUUUCACUUCAUUGUUACAUUAUCAAUGCGAUCUUCCUCGCAGCCUUCUCCCACCACCCCGCCAUCUCACCAUCGUCAUCCUUCUCCUCCACCCCCUUCAUUGUUGGUUUGUUGGGUUGA
RNAcentral lists this ribosomal RNA (423 nucleotides) under Triticum aestivum (bread wheat). Its description in RNAcentral is "partial small subunit ribosomal RNA". Lineage: Eukaryota; Viridiplantae; Streptophyta; Magnoliopsida; Poales; Poaceae. The record is from RNAcentral.